GCAGAUCAGUAAUGUGCUGGCCACCACUGGCUCCGUCUACCACAGCUGGUUCUCCCGUGGCCUUCACCAUGGGACAAAGAUAGAGGGGUGCAGGGCUGUCCACAUCCACCCCACGUGGCAGGCAGUUUUUGUUUUCUAAGCAAAUGAUUGCAGUAGAGAGUUUCUUGUUUCCUCUUAGGAGAGCUUUAAAGAGCUCUGCUUCUGUAUGCAGUGGCUUGGAGCUCACCCUGCUCACUGUUGGUACCGCCCCCUUGUCCCACAUUAACCUGGAUACUUGGAACUGCUAAAAUAGGAAGAGCUUCUGCUUUUCAACUUUGCUACUACCUUCCCUCAAGC
This 336-nucleotide long non-coding RNA is filed under the name Androctonus crassicauda. Lineage: Eukaryota; Metazoa; Arthropoda; Arachnida; Scorpiones; Buthidae. The record is from RNAcentral.